RNAcentral lists this ribosomal RNA (475 nucleotides) under uncultured bacterium. Its description in RNAcentral is "bacterial SSU rRNA". It matches the Rfam family "Bacterial small subunit ribosomal RNA", at positions 30 to 524 of the family's 1533-position model. The record is from RNAcentral.
AUUGAACGCUGGCGGCAUGCCUUACACAUGCAAGUCGAACGGCAGCGCGGGGCAACCUGGCGGCGAGUGGCGAACGGGUGAGUAAUAUAUCGGAACGUGCCCUGGAGUGGGGAUAACGUAGCGAAAGUUACGCUAAUACCGCAUACGAUCCAAGGAUGAAAGCAGGGGACCUUCGGGCCUUGUGCUCCUGGAGCGGCCGAUAUCUGAUUAGCUAGUUGGUGGGGUAAAAGCCUACCAAGGCGACGAUCAGUAGCUGGUCUGAGAGGACGACCAGCCACACUGGAACUGAGACACGGUCCAGACUCCUACGGGAGGCAGCAGUGGGGAAUUUUGGACAAUGGGGGGCAACCCUGAUCCAGCCAUGCCGCGUGAGUGAUGAAGGCCUUAGGGUUGUAAAGCUCUUUUGCCGGGGGACGAUAAUGACGGUACCCGGAGAAUAAGUCCCGGCUAACUUCGUGCCAGCAGCCGCGGUAAU